AGAGUUUGAUCCUGGCUCAGAUUGAACGCUGGCGGAAUGCUUUACACAUGCAAGUCGAACGAUGAACCUUAGCUUGCUAAGGGGAUUAGUGGCGAACGGGUGAGUAAUAUAUCGGAACGUGCCUUGUAAUGGGGGAUAACUAGUCGAAAGAUUAGCUAAUACCGCAUACGCCCUGAGGGGGAAAGUAGGGGAUCUUCGGACCUUACGUUAUAAGAGCGGCCGAUAUCUGAUUAGCUAGUUGGUGGGGUAAUGGCCUACCAAGGCAUCGAUCAGUAGCUGGUCUGAGAGGACGACCAGCCACACUGGAACUGAGACACGGUCCAGACUCCUACGGGAGGCAGCAGUGGGGAAUUUUGGACAAUGGGCGCAAGCCUGAUCCAGCCAUUCCGCGUGAGUGAAGAAGGCCUUCGGGUUGUAAAGCUCUUUCGCAAGGGAAGAAAACUUACAUUCUAAUAAAGUGUGAGGCUGACGGUACCUUGAUAAGAAGCACCGGCUAACUACGUGCCAGCAGCCGCGGUAAUACGUAGGGUGCGAGCGUUAAUCGGAAUUACUGGGCGUAGAGCGUGCGCAGGCGGUUUGGCAAGUCAGAUGUGAAAUCCCCGAGCUCAACUUGGGAACUGCGUUUGAAACUGCCAGACUAGAAUAUGUCAGAGGGGGGUAGAAUUCCACGUGUAGCAGUGAAAUGCGUAGAGAUGUGGAGGAAUACCAAUGGCGAAGGCAGCCCCCUGGGAUAAUAUUGACGCUCAUGCACGAAAGCGUGGGGAGCAAACAGGAUUAGAUACCCUGGUAGUCCACGCCCU
This 800-nucleotide ribosomal RNA is filed under the name uncultured bacterium. RNAcentral describes it as "bacterial SSU rRNA". It matches the Rfam family "Bacterial small subunit ribosomal RNA", at positions 8 to 803 of the family's 1533-position model. The record is from RNAcentral.